This 1733-nucleotide ribosomal RNA is filed under the name Coptotermes gestroi. RNAcentral's name for it is "bacterial LSU rRNA". The record is from RNAcentral. Lineage: Eukaryota; Metazoa; Arthropoda; Insecta; Blattodea; Rhinotermitidae.
AAAGGCUAAAGACGACGUUACUACCGAUAGCGCAGAAGUACCGUGAGGGAAAGGCGAAAAGAACCCCGGUGAGGGGAGUGAAAGAGAACCUGAAACCGUAAACCCACAACAGGUCGGAGCCCGGAGCGAUCCGGGUGACGGCGUGCCUUUUGUAGAAUGAGCCUGCGAGUUAUGGGGGCGAGCGAGGUUAAGSGAUGGRAGUYSCGGAGCCKGAGGGAAACCGAGUCUKAAYAGGGCGYAGCGAGACGDAAGUBCGCGKAUAGUUCGUUAUCAUAGACCCGAAGCCAAGUGAUCUAGAUAUGAGCAGGCUGAAGCUCAGGUAAAACUGAGUGGAGGGCCGAACCCUAGUCUGUUAAAAAAGGCAGGGAUGACUUGUGUCUUGGAGUGAAAGGCUAAACAAACUUGGAAAUAGCUGGUUCUCCCCGAAAUGCCUUGAGGGACAGCCUUGUCAAAAUCUUGCGCAGGUAGAGCACUGGAUGGACUAGGGGGCUUCACCGCCUACCAAACCCAAUCAAACUCCGAAUGGCGCAAGACAACUGACGGGAGUGAGACUGCGGGCGACAAGGUUCGUAGUCGAGAGGGAAACAGCCCGGACCGCCGGCUAAGGUCCCGGAUGGUAUGCUGAGUGUGAAAUGAUGUGUGAUGGCGCAGACAGCCAGGAGGUUGGCUUAGAAGCAGCCAUACCUUAAAAGAGUGCGUAAUAGCUCACUGGUCGAGUCAUCGCGCGCAGACAAUGUAACGGGGCUAAGCAUACAACCGAAGCCGCGGGUUCAUAUAGCGAUAUAUGGACGGUAGGGGAGCAUUCCACGGACCGAAGAAGGCGCGUCGGGAGGCGCGCUGGAGGGGGUGGAAGAGAGAAUGCAGGUAUAAGUAUACGAAAAGACGGGUGAGAUCCCCGUCCGCCGAAAGCCUAAGGAUUCCUGGGUAAAGGUCAUCUGCCCAGGGUAAGUCGGCCCCUAAGGCGAGGACGAAAGUCGUAGUCGAUGGGAAACGGGUUCAGAUUCCCGUACCUUACUAAGUUUUGAAGGGAUGACGCAUGAGGUGAAACCCGGCCGGGCGACGGUUGUCCCGGUCGAAGUGGUAAGCCGUUGAAGGGUAUAGGCAAAUCCGUACCCUGAGGUAAGCCAUGACAGCGAGUGGAGCUACGGCAAAGCGAAGCGGGCGUAAUCAGGGUGCCAAGAAAUAAUCUCUAAAGCUAGGCUUGGUAAGACCGUACCGGAAACCGACACAGGUAGGCGGGAUGAGCAAUCUAAGGCGCUCGAGAGAACUCGCGUUAAGGAACUCGGCAAAAAGCACACGUAACUUCGGGAGAAGUGUGGCCGAUUUUGGUUUAGUAAUAGGUUAGAGUCGGCAGCAUAAAGCAGUCCCAGGCGACUGUUUACCAAAAACACAGGCCUCUGCAAAUCAGUAAUGAGACGUAUAGGGGCUGACACCUGCCCGGUGCCGGAAGGUUAAGGGGAGCGGUUAGCCGCAAGGCAAAGCUGUGAACUGAAGCCCCGGUAAACGGCGGCCGUAACUAUAACGGUCCUAAGGUAGCGAAAUUCCUUGUCGGGUAAGUUCCGACCCGCACGAAAGGUGUAACGAUCUGGGAGCUGUCUCAACGCGAGACUCGGUGAAAUUUAUGUACCGGUAAAGAAGCCGGUUACCCGUGGUUAGACGGAAAGACCCCGUGAACCUUCAUGGAGGAAGGGACUACCCUGCCAAGACCUGUCGCGACUUGCAUGUGGCACAUC